RNAcentral lists this ribosomal RNA (223 nucleotides) under Aspergillus foveolatus. Its description in RNAcentral is "partial 28S ribosomal RNA". It matches the Rfam family "Eukaryotic large subunit ribosomal RNA", at positions 1 to 215 of the family's 3401-position model. Lineage: Eukaryota; Fungi; Ascomycota; Eurotiomycetes; Eurotiales; Aspergillaceae. The record is from RNAcentral.
UCUCAGGUUGACCUCGGAUCAGGUAGGGAUACCCGCUGAACUUAAGCAUAUCAAUAAGCGGAGGAAAAGAAACCAACCGGGAUUGCCUCAGUAACGGCGAGUGAAGCGGCAAGAGCUCAAAUUUGAAAGCUGGCCCCUUCGGGGUCCGCGUUGUAAUUUGCAGAGGAUGCUUCGGGUGCGGCCCCUGUCUAAGUGCCCUGGAACGGGCCGUCAGAGAGGGUGA